AUUUUUUUCAAAUGUUUUUGUUUUUGUCAAAUCCAAAAACUUAUCACUCUAUUUUAAAUGUUUUUGUUUUGGGGAGAUUGUAUAUUUACUUGAUGGACAAUGGAAGAAGCUUAUGUGUAUUAUUCAUAGUGUAAAAACAGUUAGAAGCUAGCGUCCUGUCCUUUGAUCGUUAGAGAGGUUAAGGUUCCAUUUGACUUUACACAUAUGAGAUCACUUUGUUAUUCCUAAACAAUCUUGGCACAAUAUACAGUUUCCCCUCGUGUUUUUUUUUGUUUGUUAAAAACAGUAUCCUCUUUUGUAUUUUGCAUGUUUUUUUGAAGAUUAAAUGCUUGCUUGUUUGCAAUCUUGAUGUGCAUGUUUGAUUGUUUGUUUCUUUGCUUGCGAGAUUGGAGAUGGUCAUCAGGAGGAGCUUGAGAAGUGAAAGGUGAUUGAAGCAGUAGGAUGACAAUGAAGAUGGUUCGUGACUCCAUUGAUGUCACUUAAAAGACAUGGUUUCUAGCAAACGAUCCAGUUUAUAUCAUGCUCACCGAGAAGCUUGAAGAAGAUAGAGGAGAGGCAAGGAGUUAACAAAUGGAGGCCAGAGUAUCUCAUGAUCGUGAAGAAGACUUACUCCUCCUUGAUAACAACUUCUGUAUCACUUUAACUCUAAAUCAAGUUGACCUUUCUACUUUGUAAAAUCAAAUUAUAUGAUGACCUUUGAAUACUUUUUUUUGUUGUUGUUUUUUACCUAUAAGCUAAACCUUUGUGUUGUUUUACCUAUAAAUCAAGUACUAUGUAAUUUUA
Molecule: long non-coding RNA, 783 nt
Organism: Brassica oleracea var. oleracea
Lineage: Eukaryota; Viridiplantae; Streptophyta; Magnoliopsida; Brassicales; Brassicaceae
Exons: 3
Source: RefSeq, a predicted model, not a curated record